UCACAGACUACACACGUUCAAGCAAGAUGCUAUGUAUAACAUUGUGAGAAAAUGGAAAUUAAAACUCACUGAUCGGAGUUUGUCCGACGUGUCUUCGACGGUGGCGAUUAGAAGCGGAAAGCCAGAGAUGUUUGCUUCCAAAUUCAGUGAUGAUGUGAUGAAGGUUGCUGCGAUGAAAAAAAAUAGUGGUGAUGUUGUUUGAAUUGACUGAAGCAU
Non-coding RNA from Vicia faba (fava bean), 216 nucleotides. The record is from the annotation of a GenBank genome assembly. Lineage: Eukaryota; Viridiplantae; Streptophyta; Magnoliopsida; Fabales; Fabaceae.